This 468-nucleotide ribosomal RNA is filed under the name uncultured bacterium. Its description in RNAcentral is "partial 16S ribosomal RNA". It matches the Rfam family "Bacterial small subunit ribosomal RNA", at positions 28 to 507 of the family's 1533-position model. The record is from RNAcentral.
GACGAACGCUGGCGGCGUGCUUAACACAUGCAAGUCGAACGGAAAGGCCCUGCUUUUGUGGGGUGCUCGAGUGGCGAACGGGUGAGUAACACGUGAGUAACCUGCCCUUGACUUUGGGAUAACUUCAGGAAACUGGGGCUAAUACCGGAUAGGAGCUCCUGCUGCAUGGUGGGGGUUGGAAAGUUUCGGCGGUUGGGGAUGGACUCGCGGCUUAUCAGCUUGUUGGUGGGGUAGUGGCUUACCAAGGCUUUGACGGGUAGCCGGCCUGAGAGGGUGACCGGCCACAUUGGGACUGAGAUGCGGCCCAGACUCCUACGGGAGGCAGCAGUGGGGAAUAUUGCACAAUGGGCGGAAGCCUGAUGCAGCAACGCCGCGUGCGGGAUGACGGCCUUCGGGUUGUAAACCGCUUUCGCCUGUGACGAAGCGUGAGUGACGGUAAUGGGAAAAGAAGCACCGGCUAACUACGUG